RNAcentral lists this ribosomal RNA (379 nucleotides) under uncultured Streptococcus sp. RNAcentral's name for it is "bacterial SSU rRNA". It matches the Rfam family "Bacterial small subunit ribosomal RNA", at positions 1003 to 1382 of the family's 1533-position model. Lineage: Bacteria; Bacillati; Bacillota; Bacilli; Lactobacillales; Streptococcaceae. The record is from RNAcentral.
GAGAUGGUGCGUUCCUUCGGGGACAGAGAGACAGGUGGUGCAUGGUUGUCGUCAGCUCGUGUCGUGGGAUGUUGGGUUAAGUCCCGCAACGAGCGCAACCCCUAUGGUCAGUUGCCAGCAGGUCAAGCUGGGCACUCUGGCGAGACUGCCGUUGACAAAACGGAGGAAGGUGGGGACGACGUCAAAUCAUCAUGCCCCUUAUGUCCUGGGCUACACACGUACUACAAUGGUUGGUACAACGAGUUGCGAGUCGGUGACGGCGAGCUAAUCUCUUAAAGCCAAUCUCAGUUCGGAUUGUAGGCUGCAACUCGCCUACAUGAAGUCGGAAUCGCUAGUAAUCGCGGAUCAGCACGCCGCGGUGAAUACGUUCCCGGGCCUU